This 497-nucleotide ribosomal RNA is filed under the name uncultured bacterium. RNAcentral describes it as "partial 16S ribosomal RNA". It matches the Rfam family "Bacterial small subunit ribosomal RNA", at positions 28 to 507 of the family's 1533-position model. The record is from RNAcentral.
GAUGAACGCUGGCGGCGUGCCUAAUACAUGCAAGUCGAGCGAACAGACGAGGAGCUUGCUUCUCUGACGUUAGCGGCGGACGGGUGAGUAACACGUGGAUAACCUACCUAUAAGACUGGGAUAACUUCGGGAAACCGGAGCUAAUACCGGAUAAUAUAUUGAACCGCAUGGUUCAAUAGUGAAGGACGGUUUUGCUGUCACUUAUAGAUGGAUCCGCGCCGCAUUAGCUAGUUGGUAAGGUAACGGCUUACCAAGGCAACGAUGCGUAGCCGACCUGAGAGGGUGAUCGGCCACACUGGAACUGAGACACGGUCCAGACUCCUACGGGAGGCAGCAGUAGGGAAUCUUCCGCAAUGGGCGAAAGCCUGACGGAGCAACGCCGCGUGAGUGAUGAAGGUCUUCGGAUCGUAAAACUCUGUUAUUAGGGAAGAACAAAUGUGUAAGUAACUAUGCACGUCUUGACGGUACCUAAUCAGAAAGCCACGGCUAACUACGUG